UAGGAUCGAAGGACCCCUGGAUUCU
Molecule: non-coding RNA, 25 nt
Filed under: Mus musculus (house mouse)
Lineage: Eukaryota; Metazoa; Chordata; Mammalia; Rodentia; Muridae
Source: RNAcentral